UACGUAGGGUGCAAGCGUUGUCCGCAAUUAUUGGGCGUAAAGAGCUCGUAGGCGGUCUGUCGCGUCUGCUGUGAAAACUCGGGGCUUAACCCCGGGCCUGCAGUGGGUACGGGCAGACUAGAGUGCGGUAGGGGAGACUGGAAUUCCUGGUGUAGCGGUGAAAUGCGCAGAUAUCAGGAGGAACACCGGUGGCGAAGGCGGGUCUCUGGUACGUGACUGACGCUGAGACGCGAAAGCGUGGGGAGCGAACAGG
Molecule: ribosomal RNA, 253 nt
Filed under: uncultured bacterium
Lineage: Bacteria
Description: partial 16S ribosomal RNA
Rfam family: Bacterial small subunit ribosomal RNA
Source: RNAcentral